This is a long non-coding RNA of Chelonia mydas (Green sea turtle), 1610 nucleotides long. RefSeq lists it as uncharacterized. Lineage: Eukaryota; Metazoa; Chordata; Testudines; Cheloniidae. The record is from RefSeq and is a predicted model, not a curated record. The transcript is spliced from 5 exons.
AGCUGAACUGGGUCUCUCAUUUACUGGCUGAUGUUUAUUUCUCCCUAGUUGCUGAAACUGAGCUCUCUCCAUUUCCUUUCCUUCCUCCCAGCUUGCAGGAGCCUGGAAUGUAUUUUGUCAGGCAUGUUGUAUGAGAGUAGUCCUUACAAGACACUUGGAAGCAUGUAACCUGUAGCUGCUUCUUCUCUCCUAUAUCAUUAGGACUGAAGGCUCUCCCUGAUCUCACUCUUUGUAAGAAAGUUAGCACCCUUAAAACCAACAUUCAAGCUAAAAUUUGAACUUUGCUAUCUUGAAAGCUAAAAACUGAGCGUGAACGCUUCAACAGAAUUGUUCUAUUUCACGAUAAGAGGAAUUAUUCUCUUGUGCUUUGAAGAUGUAGUAAUGAAUUCUGAAAUGCAACAAGACACAAAUGAGAUACUAUGAAAGUUUAACUUGGUUGUUCCUGCAAAAUAUCUACCAGGAGAGGCAUGGAAUCUCAACACUUAUACUUCUGAUCCUAGCUGGUUGACCCCAAGCCACCUGCAGGGGAAAAUGAAGGGAAUGAUGAAGAGAAAUGUUGCAGCUGCUGGAGGAAAAAGCUAGCUCCUGCCAACAACAUAGACUAGUAUCAGUCAGAACCAUUCCAGAUGUGGCACGGUGAUCCAGAGUUGCUGACCACAAAAAGGGCAGAGGCCUACCCUGUGUUGUAUGAGAUGCUGGUAGAAGUGAGAGCAGGGAGCUUCUCCUUCCAUGCUCCGCACAUCCAUGUGGAUGUGGAGCAGGAUAUACUCCUAAUACCGUGAACUCUGGAAGAAGAGUCCAGCUAAUAUGCCUGUAACCUCACCACUGCCUCGAGAGUGGCAAUCAAUCUCAUUUGAGGCAUGGACUAGCUCCUGGCCUCCAGCCUUCCUGUGAGCAUGCUGCAGUCAGUAGUAGCAGCAGAGGGUGGCACCAAGUUGCAUGUUCAGGGUCAUCCAGCACUGCGUUUUUCAGGGUGGAAGCACAGUACAAUGAAUUUUGCCUUGCAGUUUGAAGUCAUGACGACAUCACGAUACCUUAUCUGCUGAACUCUCAAAAGUUCAGAUAAGGAAACUGAAGCAGUGAGAGUAAAUGACUUCUCCAGAGUGACACAAAGCAUCUAUGGCAGAGCAGGAAAUGGAAGGUAUGCCCCCCUCCUGCCCUUUUGUUUGAAACAGAAGCCCAUAUUUCCUCCCAUCCUCAGGAGUGUGGUACCUCUGAGAGGAAGGUGUGGGUUUUUUUUUUAAUUUAAUGGUCCAAGAUGGAUAAGCUCUUAAAUUAGAGACCUCUGGGGAGCACUUAGAUGGGACAGGGAGCUAGCUGUGUUGGUGCUUUAGAAGGAGUGAUGGAGACUCUUCAUUUUAUCUGGGUUGUCCCAAAUUACCAGCCACUUGUCUUGGAGUGAAGACCAUCCUACCGUGUUGGAGAGACAGGAAUCUAUACCAGGAUACUAAAACAGUAUCUCAGUAUCUUUAUCAGGCACUUGUGUAUCUAAGAAAACCAGUGUUAAAAGGCACAAUUAAGGGGACUAAUGCAUGUGGUUAAUUAGCCAUAGAAAUUAUACCCUGAGACCUCAAUGCAAUAAGUCCUGGAUACUUUAACCAACAGAAGAG